Molecule: ribosomal RNA, 3011 nt
Filed under: Salmonella enterica subsp. enterica serovar Heidelberg
Lineage: Bacteria; Pseudomonadati; Pseudomonadota; Gammaproteobacteria; Enterobacterales; Enterobacteriaceae
Also listed under: 2 other names
Description: 23S ribosomal RNA
Rfam family: Bacterial large subunit ribosomal RNA
Source: RNAcentral
GGGUUGUGAGGUUAAGCGACUAAGCGUACACGGUGGAUGCCCUGGCAGUCAGAGGCGAUGAAGGGCGUGCUAAUCUGCGAUAAGCGCCGGUAAGGUGAUAUGAACCGUUAUAACCGGCGAUACCCGAAUGGGGAAACCCAGUGUGACUCGUCACACUAUCAUUAACUGAAUCCAUAGGUUAAUGAGGCGAACCGGGGGAACUGAAACAUCUAAGUACCCCGAGGAAAAGAAAUCAACCGAGAUUCCCCCAGUAGCGGCGAGCGAACGGGGAGGAGCCCAGAGCCUGAAUCAGCAUGUGUGUUAGUGGAAGCGUCUGGAAAGGCGCGCGAUACAGGGUGACAGCCCCGUACACAAAAGCGCAUGUGCUGUGAGCUCGAUGAGUAGGGCGGGACACGUGGUAUCCUGUCUGAAUAUGGGGGGACCAUCCUCCAAGGCUAAAUACUCCUGACUGACCGAUAGUGAACCAGUACCGUGAGGGAAAGGCGAAAAGAACCCCGGCGAGGGGAGUGAAAAAGAACCUGAAACCGUGUACGUACAAGCAGUGGGAGCACCCUUUGGGGUGUGACUGCGUACCUUUUGUAUAAUGGGUCAGCGACUUAUAUUCUGUAGCAAGGUUAACCGUAUAGGGGAGCCGUAGGGAAACCGAGUCUUAACCGGGCGUUAAGUUGCAGGGUAUAGACCCGAAACCCGGUGAUCUAGCCAUGGGCAGGUUGAAGGUUGGGUAACACUAACUGGAGGACCGAACCGACUAAUGUUGAAAAAUUAGCGGAUGACCUGUGGCUGGGGGUGAAAGGCCAAUCAAACCGGGAGAUAGCUGGUUCUCCCCGAAAGCUAUUUAGGUAGCGCCUCGUGAAUUCAUCUCCGGGGGUAGAGCACUGUUUCGGCUAGGGGGCCAUCCCGGCUUACCAACCCGAUGCAAACUGCGAAUACCGGAGAAUGUUAUCACGGGAGACACACGGCGGGUGCUAACGUCCGUCGUGAAGAGGGAAACAACCCAGACCGCCAGCUAAGGUCCCAAAGUCAUGGUUAAGUGGGAAACGAUGUGGGAAGGCCCAGACAGCCAGGAUGUUGGCUUAGAAGCAGCCAUCAUUUAAAGAAAGCGUAAUAGCUCACUGGUCGAGUCGGCCUGCGCGGAAGAUGUAACGGGGCUAAACCAUGCACCGAAGCUGCGGCAGCGAACGUAUCACCCAAGACAACUUUACGGAGUUGACGAUUGACGGAGCGAAGCGACGUCAAAGCGUUCAUUAAAGUCGAGUUGGCUUAGGGAUACGUUCGUUGGGUAGGGGAGCGUUCUGUAAGCCUGUGAAGGUGUGUCGUGAGGCAUGCUGGAGGUAUCAGAAGUGCGAAUGCUGACAUAAGUAACGAUAAAGCGGGUGAAAAGCCCGCUCGCCGGAAGACCAAGGGUUCCUGUCCAACGUUAAUCGGGGCAGGGUGAGUCGACCCCUAAGGCGAGGCCGAAAGGCGUAGUCGAUGGGAAACGGGUUAAUAUUCCCGUACUUGGUGUUACUGCGAAGGGGGGACGGAGAAGGCUAUGUUGGCCGGGCGACGGUUGUCCCGGUUUAAGCGUGUAGGUGUGUGUUCCAGGUAAAUCCGGUUCACUUUAACACUGAGGCGUGACGACGAGGCACUACGGUGCUGAAGCAACAAAUGCCCUGCUUCCAGGAAAAGCCUCUAAGCAUCAGGUAACAUCAAAUCGUACCCCAAACCGACACAGGUGGUCAGGUAGAGAAUACCAAGGCGCUUGAGAGAACUCGGGUGAAGGAACUAGGCAAAAUGGUGCCGUAACUUCGGGAGAAGGCACGCUGACACGUAGGUGAAGUGAUUUACUCAUGGAGCUGAAGUCAGUCGAAGAUACCAGCUGGCUGCAACUGUUUAUUAAAAACACAGCACUGUGCAAACACGAAAGUGGACGUAUACGGUGUGACGCCUGCCCGGUGCCGGAAGGUUAAUUGAUGGGGUCAGCGCAAGCGAAGCUCCUGAUCGAAGCCCCGGUAAACGGCGGCCGUAACUAUAACGGUCCUAAGGUAGCGAAAUUCCUUGUCGGGUAAGUUCCGACCUGCACGAAUGGCGUAAUGAUGGCCAGGCUGUCUCCACCCGAGACUCAGUGAAAUUGAACUCGCUGUGAAGAUGCAGUGUACCCGCGGCAAGACGGAAAGACCCCGUGAACCUUUACUAUAGCUUGACACUGAACAUUGAGCCUUGAUGUGUAGGAUAGGUGGGAGGCUUUGAAGUGUGGACGCCAGUCUGCAUGGAGCCGACCUUGAAAUACCACCCUUUAAUGUUUGAUGUUCUAACGUGGACCCGUUACCCGGGUUGCGGACAGUGUCUGGUGGGUAGUUUGACUGGGGCGGUCUCCUCCUAAAGAGUAACGGAGGAGCACGAAGGUUGGCUAAUCCUGGUCGGACAUCAGGAGGUUAGUGCAAUGGCAUAAGCCAGCUUGACUGCGAGCGUGACGGCGCGAGCAGGUGCGAAAGCAGGUCAUAGUGAUCCGGUGGUUCUGAAUGGAAGGGCCAUCGCUCAACGGAUAAAAGGUACUCCGGGGAUAACAGGCUGAUACCGCCCAAGAGUUCAUAUCGACGGCGGUGUUUGGCACCUCGAUGUCGGCUCAUCACAUCCUGGGGCUGAAGUAGGUCCCAAGGGUAUGGCUGUUCGCCAUUUAAAGUGGUACGCGAGCUGGGUUUAGAACGUCGUGAGACAGUUCGGUCCCUAUCUGCCGUGGGCGCUGGAGAACUGAGGGGGGCUGCUCCUAGUACGAGAGGACCGGAGUGGACGCAUCACUGGUGUUCGGGUUGUCAUGCCAAUGGCACUGCCCGGUAGCUAAAUGCGGAAGAGAUAAGUGCUGAAAGCAUCUAAGCACGAAACUUGCCCCGAGAUGAGUUCUCCCUGAGACUUAGAGUCUCCUGAAGGAACGUUGAAGACGACGACGUUGAUAGGCCGGGUGUGUAAGCGCAGCGAUGCGUUGAGCUAACCGGUACUAAUGAACCGUGAGGCUUAACCUUACAACGCCGAAG